AGCGAACGCUGGCGGCGUACUUAACACAUGCAAGUCGAACGCGGAUCAUCCUGUGAGCAAUCAUGAGGUGGUCUGAGUGGCGGACGGGUGAGUAACACGUGGGCAACCUGCCCUCGAGCCCGGGAUACCCUCUCGAAAGGGAGGCUAAUACGGGAUACGUUCCCUGGGUCGCAGGUCCUAGGGAGGAAAGGCGGCGCAAGCGGCCGCUCGAGGAGGGGCUCGCGGCCUA
RNAcentral lists this ribosomal RNA (229 nucleotides) under uncultured bacterium. RNAcentral describes it as "partial 16S ribosomal RNA". It matches the Rfam family "Bacterial small subunit ribosomal RNA", at positions 29 to 240 of the family's 1533-position model. The record is from RNAcentral.